RNAcentral lists this ribosomal RNA (464 nucleotides) under uncultured bacterium. RNAcentral describes it as "SSU rRNA". It matches the Rfam family "Bacterial small subunit ribosomal RNA", at positions 26 to 518 of the family's 1533-position model. The record is from RNAcentral.
AGGACGAACGCUGGCGGUGUGCUUCACACAUGCAAGUCGAACGGGGUAGCAAUACCCAGUGGCGGACGGGUGAGUAACGCGUAGAAAUCUGCCUUGAGAUGGGGGAUAACAGUCCGAAAGGAUUGCUAAUACCGCAUAUGUAUACAUUCGGACACGGGUGUAUAUGAAAGGAGUAAUCCGUCUUAAGAUGAGUCUGCGUCCGAUUAGCUAGUUGGUAGGGUAAAGGCCUACCAAGGCGACGAUCGGUAGCUGGUCUGAGAGGAUGAUCAGCCACAAUGGGACUGAGACACGGCCCAUACUCCUACGGGAGGCAGCAGUGGGGAAUUUUGUGCAAUGGGGGAAACCCUGACACAGCGACACCGCGUGAACGAAGAAGCCCUUUGGGUGUAAAGUUCUGUCGGCUGGAACGAAAAAAUGACGGUACCAGCAAAGGAAGCAUCGGCUAACUACGUGCCAGCAGCCGC